RNAcentral lists this ribosomal RNA (1429 nucleotides) under metagenome. RNAcentral's name for it is "bacterial SSU rRNA". It matches the Rfam family "Archaeal small subunit ribosomal RNA". The record is from RNAcentral.
UCCCGUUGAUCCUGCGGGAGGUUGCUGCUAUUUGGGUUCGAUUUAGCCAUGCAAGUCUCCUAUUUAUUUAGGGGCAAAAUGCUCAGUAACACGUCGAUAAUCUGCCCUCAAGCGGAGGAUAACCUCGGGAAACUGAGGCUAAUACUCCAUAUUUGAGAUAUACUGGAAUGUAAUCUCAUUGAAACUUUUGGUUUGAGGAUGAGUCGGCGGCGGAUUAGGCUGUUGGCGGUGUAAUGGACCACCAAACCUGAGAUCCGUACGGGCCUUGAGAGAGGUAGCCCGGAGAGGAACACUGAGAUACUGGUUCCAGCCCUACGGGGUGCAGCAGGCGCGAAACCUCUACAAUGCACGAAAGUGUGAUAGGGGAACCCAAAGUGCUUACGCUUUGCGUUGGCUUUUGCCAAGAGUAAAUAUCUUGGAGAAUAAGUGGUGGGUAAGACUGGUGCCAGCCGCCGCGGUAACACCAGCGCCACAAGUGGCAACCACGAUUAUUGGGCCUAAAGCGUCCGUAGCAGGAAUUAUAAAUCCUUUGUGAAAUCGUUGCGCUCAACGCAACGGCGUGCAGGGGAGACUGUAAUUCUCGAGACCGGGAGGAGUCAGAAGUAUUCUGGGGGGAGCGGUAAAAUGUUAUAAUCCCCGGAGGACUACCUGUGGCGAAGGCGUCUGACUAGAACGGAUCUGACUGUGAGGGACGAAAGCCAGGGGAGCAAACCGGAUUAGAUACCCGAGUAGUCCUGGCCGUAAACGCUGCGAGCUAGGUAUUGCAUAUUCUACAUGAAUAUGCAGAAUCGAAGCGAAGGUGAUAAGCUCGCCGCCUGGGAAGUACGGUCGCAAGGCUGAAACUUUAAGGAAUUGGCGGGGAAUCACUACAAGGGGUGGAGCGUGCGGUUUAAUCUAACUCAACGCAGAGAAUCUCACUAGAGGCGAUGGCAGAAUGACGGUCAGUCUGAAGGGCUUACCUGACAGGCCAAGAGGUGGUGCAUGGCCGCCGUCAGCUCGUGCCGUGAGGUGUCCAGUUAAGUCUGGCAACGAGCGAGACCUGCAUCCGCUAUUGCUAACGACCAUUUUUGGGAUCGAGCACAUUGCGGGGACUGCCUUGGAAACAAGGAGGAAGGUGCAGGCUACGGUAGGUCUGUAUGCCCCGAAUCCUCUAGGCGACACGCGCGCAACAAUGGUUGGGACAAUAGGUCGCGACCCCGAAAGGGGAAGCUAAUCCACUAAACCCAAUCUUAGUCCAGAUUGAGCUUUGUAACCCAGGCUCAUGACGCCGGAAUCCCUAGUAAUCAGGUAUUAGCAUUGCCUGGUGAAUACGUCCCUGGUUCUUGCUCACACCGCCCGUCAAACCAACCUAGCAGGGUCUGGAUAAAACCUAUUUUUUUGAGUAUGUUGAAUCCAGGCUCAGUGAGGUGGGUUAAGUCGUCACAAGGUA